RNAcentral lists this transfer RNA (72 nucleotides) under Camelus bactrianus (Bactrian camel). It matches the Rfam family "tRNA". From Rfam's summary of the family: Transfer RNA (tRNA) molecules are approximately 80 nucleotides in length. Their secondary structure includes four short double-helical elements and three loops (D, anti-codon, and T loops). RNAcentral also lists the same sequence under 2 other names. The record is from Rfam by way of RNAcentral. Lineage: Eukaryota; Metazoa; Chordata; Mammalia; Artiodactyla; Camelidae.
GUAGGUAUAGCUCAGGGGUAGAGCACGUGCUUAGCACGUAUGAGGUGCUGGGUUCGAUUCCCAGUGCCUCCG